This 500-nucleotide ribosomal RNA is filed under the name uncultured bacterium. RNAcentral's name for it is "partial 16S ribosomal RNA". It matches the Rfam family "Bacterial small subunit ribosomal RNA", at positions 30 to 523 of the family's 1533-position model. The record is from RNAcentral.
AUUGAACGCUGGCGGCAUGCCUUACACAUGCAAGUCGAACGGCAGCGCGGGAGCAAUCCUGGCGGCGAGUGGCGAACGGGUGAGUAAUAUAUCGGAACGUGCCCAUUAGUGGGGGAUCGCCCGGCGAAAGCCGGAUUAAUACCGCAUACGACCUGAGGGUGAAAGCGGGGGAUCGCAAGACCCCGCGCUCUUGGAGCAGCCGAUAUCAGAUUAGCUAGUUGGUGGGGUAAAGGCCUACCAAGGCAACGAUCUGUAGUUGGUCUGAGAGGACGAACAGCCACACUGGGACUGAGACACGGCCCAGACUCCUACGGGAGGCAGCAGUGGGGAAUUUUGGACAAUGGGCGCAAGCCUGAUCCAGCAAUGCCGCGUGCAGGAAGAAGGCCUUCGGGUUGUAAACUGCUUUUGUCAGGGAAGAAAUCCUUUGGGCUAAUACCUCGGAGGGAUGACGGUACCUGAAGAAUAAGCACCGGCUAACUACGUGCCAGCCGCCGCCGUAA